This 1554-nucleotide ribosomal RNA is filed under the name Salmonella enterica subsp. enterica serovar Enteritidis. Its description in RNAcentral is "bacterial SSU rRNA". It matches the Rfam family "Bacterial small subunit ribosomal RNA". The record is from RNAcentral. Lineage: Bacteria; Pseudomonadati; Pseudomonadota; Gammaproteobacteria; Enterobacterales; Enterobacteriaceae.
UUAAAUUGAAGAGUUUGAUCAUGGCUCAGAUUGAACGCUGGCGGCAGGCCUAACACAUGCAAGUCGAACGGUAACAGGAAGCAGCUUGCUGCUUUGCUGACGAGUGGCGGACGGGUGAGUAAUGUCUGGGAAACUGCCUGAUGGAGGGGGAUAACUACUGGAAACGGUGGCUAAUACCGCAUAACGUCGCAAGACCAAAGAGGGGGACCUUCGGGCCUCUUGCCAUCAGAUGUGCCCAGAUGGGAUUAGCUUGUUGGUGAGGUAACGGCUCACCAAGGCGACGAUCCCUAGCUGGUCUGAGAGGAUGACCAGCCACACUGGAACUGAGACACGGYCCAGACUCCUACGGGAGGCAGCAGUGGGGAAUAUUGCACAAUGGGCGCAAGCCUGAUGCAGCCAUGCCGCGUGUAUGAAGAAGGCCUUCGGGUUGUAAAGUACUUUCAGCGGGGAGGAAGGUGUUGUGGUUAAUAACCGCAGCAAUUGACGUUACCCGCAGAAGAAGCACCGGCUAACUCCGUGCCAGCAGCCGCGGUAAUACGGAGGGUGCAAGCGUUAAUCGGAAUUACUGGGCGUAAAGCGCACGCAGGCGGUCUGUCAAGUCGGAUGUGAAAUCCCCGGGCUCAACCUGGGAACUGCAUUCGAAACUGGCAGGCUUGAGUCUUGUAGAGGGGGGUAGAAUUCCAGGUGUAGCGGUGAAAUGCGUAGAGAUCUGGAGGAAUACCGGUGGCGAAGGCGGCCCCCUGGACAAAGACUGACGCUCAGGUGCGAAAGCGUGGGGAGCAAACAGGAUUAGAUACCCUGGUAGUCCACGCCGUAAACGAUGUCUACUUGGAGGUUGUGCCCUUGAGGCGUGGCUUCCGGAGCUAACGCGUUAAGUAGACCGCCUGGGGAGUACGGCCGCAAGGUUAAAACUCAAAUGAAUUGACGGGGGCCCGCACAAGCGGUGGAGCAUGUGGUUUAAUUCGAUGCAACGCGAAGAACCUUACCUGGUCUUGACAUCCACAGAAGAAUCCAGAGAUGGAUUUGUGCCUUCGGGAACUGUGAGACAGGUGCUGCAUGGCUGUCGUCAGCUCGUGUUGUGAAAUGUUGGGUUAAGUCCCGCAACGAGCGCAACCCUUAUCCUUUGUUGCCAGCGGUUAGGCCGGGAACUCAAAGGAGACUGCCAGUGAUAAACUGGAGGAAGGUGGGGAUGACGUCAAGUCAUCAUGGCCCUUACGACCAGGGCUACACACGUGCUACAAUGGCGCAUACAAAGAGAAGCGACCUCGCGAGAGCAAGCGGACCUCAUAAAGUGCGUCGUAGUCCGGAUUGGAGUCUGCAACUCGACUCCAUGAAGUCGGAAUCGCUAGUAAUCGUGGAUCAGAAUGCCACGGUGAAUACGUUCCCGGGCCUUGUACACACCGCCCGUCACACCAUGGGAGUGGGUUGCAAAAGAAGUAGGUAGCUUAACCUUCGGGAGGGCGCUUACCACUUUGUGAUUCAUGACUGGGGUGAAGUCGUAACAAGGUAACCGUAGGGGAACCUGCGGUUGGAUCACCUCCUUACCUUAAAGAA